RNAcentral lists this ribosomal RNA (253 nucleotides) under uncultured bacterium. RNAcentral describes it as "partial 16S ribosomal RNA". It matches the Rfam family "Bacterial small subunit ribosomal RNA", at positions 524 to 776 of the family's 1533-position model. The record is from RNAcentral.
UACAGAGGUCUCGAGCGUUGUUCGGAUUCAUUGGGCGUAAAGGGCGCGUAGGCGGCGGGGUAAGUCUGGUGUGAAAUCUCGGAGCUCAACUCCGAAAUUGCACUGGAUACUGCUCUGCUAGAGGGCUGGAGAGGAGAUCGGAAUUCACGGUGUAGCAGUGAAAUGCGUAGAUAUCGUGAGGAAGACCAGUGGCGAAGGCGGAUCUCUGGACAGCUCCUGACGCUGAGGCGCGAAAGCGUGGGGAGCAAACGGG